CAUCUCAAUUGGACCUGAUAUCAGGCAAGAUUACCCGCUGAACUUAA
This 47-nucleotide ribosomal RNA is filed under the name Phytophthora citrophthora. Its description in RNAcentral is "partial 28S ribosomal RNA". RNAcentral also lists the same sequence under 1 other name. The record is from RNAcentral. Lineage: Eukaryota; Oomycota; Peronosporomycetes; Peronosporales; Peronosporaceae.